Molecule: long non-coding RNA, 448 nt
Organism: Diospyros lotus (date-plum)
Lineage: Eukaryota; Viridiplantae; Streptophyta; Magnoliopsida; Ericales; Ebenaceae
Exons: 2
Source: RefSeq, a predicted model, not a curated record
GACGUUGUUCCAGAUUCUCUGUUCUGUUCUUCCGGCUACACUGCAUAAUUCGAAGCCUUUGAUCUUAAGAUUGCAUUUUAGAAAGAUAAGGCUGCAGAUUUUUCCGCAAUAAAGAGACAGAGCUUCGAUUGAAAGGGACACCAGGUAAGGAUAAGGAAGAAAAUGGGCCAUCAUAAUCACCACGACCACCACCAUCACCAUGGGCACGAAACGAUUAGUCCAUAUGAGGAUCCCUUCCCGGCCUGCUGCUGCUGCCCUUGUCACCUGGUCUCCUUCAUAGUAAGAGGGAUAAGAAAGUGCAUGUUUGUGACUUGUUACCCAUUUAUGCAGUGUUUUGGAUGGGAUGAGCAUAGACACCACCAUCACCAUCACAGGCAUUUCUCCUGAUCCUCAUGAUUAUGCUCAAUCUUCUGAAUUUGUUGAACUCAUGUAUGGACAAUCAAAGCAG